CAAUAGCGUAUAUUAAAGUUGUUGCAGUUAAAAAGCUCGUAGUUGGAUUUCUGUCAAGAGCAAGCGGUCCGCUCCUUUGGAGUGUGUACUUGCGUCGUUUUUGACUUUCUUCUGAACCUUGCUGUUUCCCCUUCAUUGGGUGAGGCAGUUUGGCAGAACCUUUACUUUGAGAAAAUUAGAGUGUUUCAAGCAGGCUAGCGCCUUGAAUACUGCAGCAUGGAAUAAUAAGAUAGGAUUUCAGUUCUAUUUUAUUGGUUCUAAGGACUGAAAUAAUGAUUAAUAGGGACAGUUGGGGGCAUUCGUAUUUAACUGUCAGAGGUGAAAUCCUUAGAUUUGUUAAAGACGAACUACUGCGAAAGCAUUUGCCAAGGAUGUUUUCAUUAA
This 384-nucleotide ribosomal RNA is filed under the name uncultured eukaryote. RNAcentral describes it as "partial 18S ribosomal RNA". It matches the Rfam family "Eukaryotic small subunit ribosomal RNA", at positions 592 to 976 of the family's 1831-position model. The record is from RNAcentral.